GCAUAUAAUCAGAUUGCCACCAUAGAUCGACUACUUGAUGACCUAUCCCUUUCUGAUUGAGCAAGCAGAAGGGCUAUGGUCAUGAUGGUCUUCCCGAGUCCCAUAGCAUCCGCCAGAAUCUUUCAAAAGCACAAUCUAGUCAAAUCACCGUAAAUAACAAGAUUGAGUGACUUUAUAUUUCAAUAAAAUUGGGAUGCAUAAGGACAUACUCCUCCCCUGGCCAUUUGAAGUGUGCUUGGAAAUUCUACUGUAGCAUCACCUGAAAAUGUAUUCAAGUAGACAACAAGCUCCCUCUUGUCUGCUAGAUGAUAAGCCUCCCAACAUGGAUGAAGAGUUGUAGCUCCCUCCUCUGCACAUUUUCCCUUCUCCAGCUGAAUCAUCCAGUACAGAGCCUGCUUUUGGUAGGGUCGAAGUUCACACUGAAGCGUAGUAGGAGGAUCCAUUUCCUCUAACUCAGAGCAGUUCCCAACACCAACAAUAUUGUCAAGAUCGGCAUCUGAAAUGGACUCCUCAUUUUCAACUUCAUUUCCAUUUUUUGAUUGAUUCUUAGAAUUGUUGGCAUGUAACAGUGACACAGGAAUACCAGACCCAUCCUUUGAGUUCAAUGGUCGCUUCUUUGUAUACAAAUCAGCAGGUGUAAAUUCUGCCUUCUUAAAAGGGGUCAAUCCAAGCAAACGGAAUAAAUUUGGAAGAGGAUGAAUAAUUGUUUCCUCAUUAGAAUGGCUGGCAGCCUUAAGUGAGGUCUUCUGGUGCUUGCGGAACAUGGCACUGUCAAUGUAUACGCUUAUUGACAACAGAAUGGUAUCCAUUAUCCCCAGUACAUCAGGAGCCGAUUUGCAACAGCCCUCAACUCUAACCUUCUUAUCCCUUACAAGCGGCAACAGAGAUCGAGCCCACUCAUUAGGUAUUCGACCAACUUCUCCACCAUUUCUAGUGGAAAAUCUCACUAUCUCCGAACAGGAUGCAGCUGCUUGCCUUCCCUUCCCAAAAACCUUCCCGGGAGAAGGUGAACUGGAAUUAUUACUCUUAGUUGGAAAUGUGAAUAAAACUUCAUCACCAGCCUUCACCUUCCUCCCUUUACACGUUGACAACCCCGCCACAACACCACUACCCACAUACCACCACUCACUCCCAGCAGAAUCUGAGAGGGUCAAAUUCUCACCAUUAACAUCACCCUCACCCUCACCCUCACCCUCACCCUCACCCUCAGUACUUCCGCUGCAAGAAACAGCCAAGUUGUCGCCCAAAUUGCGAUUCCCAUUCUCCUUAUCUACCAAUUUCGGCUUGUCAGGGGCAUGUUUAGGCUUAGACUUUGUGCUUGGAUUUGGGGUUUUGGAAAUUUGGGGUUUAAAUUUGGAAUUGAAAUUAGGGGUGUCGAAGAUGAUGUUGACAGCGGCAGUAGGGUCAUACUUUGCAAGAUGGAGAGCUCUGAUGAUGUCCAUAUCGGAGAAGUCACAGCCAACAAUAGACCGAACAGUGGAGAGCAGCUCGUCAGUAACUUUGUUUCCCAUUAGUCCGUUAUUGGCAAAUAAGGCAAAACCCUAAUCCUAAAUUUCUAGACGAUAUUGGAUUUUGAAUUAGUUGGGGUUUUGGAGGAAAAUGGAGAUCGAUGGAUCGAUUGGUGCCAAAACGCGCAGACUGUGCAAGUGAAGAUAGCUUUUGAAAUGAAC
This 1670-nucleotide unclassified non-coding RNA is filed under the name Hevea brasiliensis (rubber tree). Lineage: Eukaryota; Viridiplantae; Streptophyta; Magnoliopsida; Malpighiales; Euphorbiaceae. The record is from RNAcentral.